UAAGCGGAGGAAAGGAAACCAACCGGGAUUGCCUUAGUAACGGCGAGUGAAGCGGCAAAAGCUCAAAUUUGAAAUCUGGUACCUUCGGUGCCCGAGUUGUAAUUUGGAGAGGGCAACUUUGGGGCCGUUCCUUGUCUAUGUUCCUUGGAACAGGACGUCAUAGAGGGUGAGAAUCCCGUGUGGCGAGGAGUGCGGUUCUUUGUAAAGUGCCUUCGAAGAGUCGAGUUGUUUGGGAAUGCAGCUCUAAGUGGGUGGUAAAUUCCAUCUAAAGCUAAAUAUUGGCGAGAGACCGAUAGCGAACAAGUACAGUGAUGGAAAGAUGAAAAGAACUUUGAAAAGAGAGUGAAAAAGUACGUGAAAUUGUUGAAAGGGAAGGGCAUUUGAUCAGACAUGGUGUUUUGUGCCCUCU
RNAcentral lists this ribosomal RNA (409 nucleotides) under Saccharomyces cerevisiae (brewer's yeast). RNAcentral describes it as "eukaryotic LSU rRNA". It matches the Rfam family "Eukaryotic large subunit ribosomal RNA", at positions 47 to 453 of the family's 3401-position model. Lineage: Eukaryota; Fungi; Ascomycota; Saccharomycetes; Saccharomycetales; Saccharomycetaceae. The record is from RNAcentral.